This 675-nucleotide long non-coding RNA is filed under the name Marmota monax (woodchuck). Lineage: Eukaryota; Metazoa; Chordata; Mammalia; Rodentia; Sciuridae. The record is from RNAcentral.
AUCCCCAGGCGCUUUUUAUAUUUUAUUUAGAGACAGGCAUCUGGCUGAGUUGCUGAGGGCCUCGCUAAUCUUGCUGAGGCUGGCUUUGAAUUCACCAUCCUCCGGCCUCAGCCUCCCGGGUCGCUGGGAUGGCAGGCGUGCGCCAUCGCACCCACAGGCUGGAAUGUUUGCACUUUUUUAAAGGAAGUCUCAAGAAAAGAGGCUGUCAUGGGGAAGUGUUUCAGACCCUGGAAGAACAGUUGCUCUAGGAAAAGGUCCUUCGAUUCUGGUCCUGCAUCACAGGGGCUUCAGGCAUGGCUAUCACCAGCCUCUGGCAAAGGGUGCCUGGGGGGCAGGCUCUGCGGCAAUGAGUGACAAGACUUUGGAGGAAAGAUUAGUCUAGAAAGCUAGGAGCACCUGGCUCCCCCUCCCAUCAGACACCACAGCCCCCCCCCCCCCCUGACAUGACCCCUGUGGAAACCCACUGCCCUUCAGAUGACCUUGCCUGCUGGGGCUCUGGGAAACUCAGGUCUGGAUUAUCCUUCGGGUGCUUGGGGGGACAGGUUGUUCCAACAUGCCGAGGUCCAUCUGAACUGAGUCACCCCAAGCCAGUCCUGUGAGCACGGAGGAAGCCUCCUGACAAGUAUAAUUUGACACCCCCAAAAAGUCCAGCCCAGUUAGACCCGUUCUGGUCCA